Molecule: ribosomal RNA, 559 nt
Filed under: uncultured organism
Description: bacterial SSU rRNA
Rfam family: Bacterial small subunit ribosomal RNA
Source: RNAcentral
CUUCGGCGAUAAAGACUUUGUCGCUAAGAGAGGAGCCUGCGUCCUAUCAGGUCGUUGGUGGGGUAAUGGCCCACCAAGCCAAUAACAGGUAACCGGUGUGAGAGCACGACCGGUCACAAGGUCACUGAAAUACGGGGCCUACACCUACGGGUGGCAGCAACCAGGAAUAUUGCGCAAUGGACGAAAGUCUGACGCAGCGACACCGCGUGUGGGAAGACGCUUUUCGGAGUGUAAACCACUGUGGCAAGGGAAGAAUUGUUGACGGUACCUUGCUAGAAAGCACCUGCUAACUACGUGCCAGAAGCCUCGGUAAUACGUAGGGUGCAAGCGUUAUCCGGAUUUACUGGGCGUAAAGGGUUCGUCGGCGUCUUUAUAAGUUCUUUGUUUAAGCCUGGGGCUUAACCCCAGAACAGCAAAGAAUACUGUAAAGAUUGAGUAUAUUCGGGGGAAUUAGAAUUCUCAGUGGAGGGGUGAAAUCCGUAGAGAUUGAGAAGAAUACCGUACGCGAAGGCAGAUUCCUAGAAUAUCACUGACGCUCAGGAACGAAAGCUUGGGUAGC